This 3862-nucleotide long non-coding RNA is filed under the name Salmo salar (Atlantic salmon). RNAcentral's name for it is "lncRNA (ENSSSAG00000114910.1)". The record is from RNAcentral. Lineage: Eukaryota; Metazoa; Chordata; Actinopteri; Salmoniformes; Salmonidae.
UGAUGAAUUGCUGAAUGCUACAAACCUGUCACCUCAAUCCAGCCUGGCUAGGAUUCCCUCUGGAUAUAUCAGUGAAGGUGUGUCACCAGCAGUGUCUGCAGUAUGUCCUGCUAGUGACUUACCAGAACGAGCUUCCUCUGAAACCACAGUAAUGGAGUCAGCGCCCAGAGGGAUCCACUCUGCACCAUCAAUGGAUGAGCUACUGGUUUUACCAACUUCUGUUGAUGGGUUUUCACCAGCAGUGUCUGCAAGAUCUUCAAGAGGUACUUUGUCAAAAAGAGCUCCCUCAGAAACAGCAGUGGAGGGGGUAAGAUAUUCUGAAAGUGGUUUAUCAGGGAGCGCUUUCUCUGAAACAGAACUAGUUGAUGCUGCACAGAGAGUGUCCUCAGUCAGGAUACCCAGUAGAGAGGAGAGUGUGGGGAGAACAGCAGAGACACCAGAGAGACACACAUCUCCCAGAGUAUCUCCACAGACAUUUUCAGAGUCAGCUACAGGCUUGUCAUCUAAGCCAGGGCCCCCUCUGAGUGAUUGUCCAACAGAGUCAGGCUCUUUGGAAGUCAUCUUUAAUAUGGAGGAGACUUAUACAACACCAUCUAUGGGGGAGAUUGUUCCUCCAACUCCUGCUGGGGAUGGCAUUUCUGCCUCUACUGAUGAAAGAGCAGCAGAAUCAGCUUCUAGAGAACUGUUGUAUAUGGAUGAGACGUAUAAACCACCAUCAAUGGCAGACCUACCAGGAUCCCCAGCUGCUGUUGGAGGCAUUUCACCAGCAGUGUCUGCUGGAUGUUCACAAAGUGACAUGGCAGAAAAAGCUCCCUCAGAAACAGCAGUAGGCAGACACACAUCUUCCAGAGUACCUCCUAAAGUUCCUCCACAAACAUCCUGGAGCUCAGCUACAGGCUUGGCAUCUAAGUCCAGUUUGGCCAGGGUUCCCUCUGUGUCUCUCAGUGAUGGUGCAAAAGAACCAGCUCAGAUAGACAAAACACUGUCAAUGGAGGAGCUACUGGCAUCUCCAUUGUAUUCUCAGUGGGCAAUGUCACCAGCCGGUUCUGAAAGAGUGUCCUCAGUCAGGAUAUCCAGUAGAGAGGAGAGUGUGGGGAGAACAGCAGAGACACCAGAGAGACACACAUCUCCUGGAGCUUCUCCAAGAGUUUCUCCACAAACCUCUCUUGUAUCAGCUCAUGUUGUUAAAUCUCCGUCUGGUACAGAUAUUUCUCAACAAUCCAGUCUGCCUAGGAUUCCCUCUGCACCAUCAAUGGACAGAUACACAUCUCCCAGAGUUUCUCAAAGAGUUUCUCCACAAUCCAGUCUUGCCAGGAUUCCCUCUGCACCAUCAAUGGAGGAGCUACUGGUGUCUCCAUCUGCUUCUGUUGGUAGAAUUUCUACAGCAGUUUCAAGACGAUCUUUAAGAAGUAGUUUGUCAGAAAGAGCUCCUUCUGAAACAGUCAUAAGAUAUUCUGAAAGCGUUUUAUCAGGAAGAGCUCUCUCUAAAACAGAACUAGUCGAUGCAGCACAGAGAGUGUCCCCAGUCAGGAUACCCAGUAGACAGGAGAGGGUGGGGAGAACACCAGAGAGAUGCACAUCUCCCAGAGUUUCUCCACAAUCCAGUCUGGCCAGGAUUCAAUCUGCACCAUCAAUUGAGGAGCCACUGGUGUCUCCAUCUGCUGCUGUUGGCAGAGAAUCUCCAGCCAGGAGUGGAGUUUCUCUAGUAAUGUCUCUAGGAAUUUCUGCAGCCAAUGUGGUUGGGCCAGUGUGUUUCAAAGAUGUGUCACAGAUUAUGCCGACUAAAAUACCAGAGAAUCAGGGUUCGGCCUCCUCCGCCAGGAUACCCAGUAGACAGGAGAGUGUGGGGAGAACAGCAGAGACACCAGAGAGACACACAUCUCCUGGAGUAUCACCAAGAGCUUCUCCAAGAGUUUCUCCACAAACCUCUCGUACAUUGGCUCAUGUUGGUGAAUCUCCGUCUGGUACAGAUAUUUCUCAACAAUCCAGUCUGCCUAGGAUUCCCUAUGCACCAUCAAUGGACAGAUACACAUUUCCCAAAGUUUCUCAAAGGGUUUCUUCACAAUCCAGUCUGGCCAGGCUUCCCUCUGCACCAUCAAUGGAGGAGCUACUGGUGUCUCCAUCUGCUUCUGUUGGUAGAAUUUCACCAGCAGUUUCAAGAAAAUCUUCAGAAACAGCUCCUUCUGAAACAGUCAUACGAUAUUUUGAAAGUGAUUUAGGAAGAGCUUUCUCUGAAACAGAGCUAGUUGAUGCUGCACUGAGUGUGUCCUCAGUCAGGAUACCAAGUAGACAGGAGAGGGUGGGGAGAACAGCAGAGACACCAGAGAGACAGACAUCUCCCAGAGUUUCUCCAAGAUUUUCUCCACAAACAUCUCUUCUAUCAGCUCAAGUUGGUGAAUCUCUGUCUGGUACAGACAUUGCACCACAAUCCAGUCUGCCCGGGAUUCCAUAUGCAUCAUCAAUAGAGGAGCUACUGAUGUCUCUAACUGCUACUGUUGAAAGAAUUUCACCUGCAGUUUCAAGAUCUUCAAGAAGUAGUUUGUUAGAAAGUGUUUCCUCUGAAAAAGCAACAAUUAAAGCAAUAUACAGAGAAGAGAGUGUAGAGAGAACAGCAGAAACAACAGAGAGUCACACAACUAAACAAGUGUCUUUCAGAGCUCCUUUGGCAACAUCUAAGACAAGACUCGUUUCUGAUGUGGCAAUUUUGUACAGACCAUCCAUUGCUGAAGGCCUUUGUCUUGAGGUCUUGGACAUGGAGUCUGACCAGGUGAAAACACCAAUGAGUGACAUCACUGCACAAGCUCUGUCUCACACUGCAGCAAUGGAAACAGCUCAGGAUACAGUCAGGAUACCCAGUAGAAAGGAGAGUGCAAGGAGAGCAGCAGAAACACAAACAUAUUUUGCAUCAGGAUUGUUGGACAACAGUACACAAGUUUCAGGAACUUCAGUCCACCUUCAUGAAGAGGUGACUGCCCACCCUACAGAAGUGCAGCAGGGGACCCUGCAACUUGGAAUUCCUCUAGGAGUUUCUCUAGCCAAUAUGGUUGGGCCUCAAAACACACGGUCACAGAGUGUGCAGACUGGACCAGAUUAUCAUGGCCCGCCCUUGCAUAGCGUUCCUAUUGAAGCAGGACGUGUCAGUCCUGAUGCUCAGCCUGCCUUCGAGAAUUUCACCAAUCAGGUCUGGACACUAUACCACUUGGCCAAUGAGACGGAGGAGGGCACACUGUCCACUAACACUAUCUCCCAGCCUCCGUUCAAUGGAAGUGCUUUCAUUCGCAACUUUGGGCCUGGACAUGUGUUACUGGCAGAGAGGUCCCCUUCCCCUCAGCAGUCUGACACCCAGUCCUGGUGUGGCCGACCCAGACAACAGCCCCAGCCACCACCUUUCCCGAUGUACCCAAGAAGGGCCUUCACACCCAGGUCACAGAGCACAACCCUUCGCCCUCCACCCCAGCAUCCAACUAUCCUCAACCUGGAGAUCAGCAUCCCCAACUACUUCCUGUUCCUCGAUGGCAACCAGGUGUCCCUGAGCCAGAGCGCUCGUAGUGUUCCGACUGCAAUGUUUUCCAGGUCGAGAUCUGCUGUGGUCAGGGCGGACGACCCCCAGGGGGACCUGUCCUUCUCCGUUCCAAUGGAGAUGGUAAACGGAGGUUCCAGUCGGGACGGUCAGGCCCAGUUCCUGCAGGUCAUCAGUGAUGAAGGAAAUACUGUUUACUCCCCCGCUCUCAUACGCAUUGUCACCUCUGAACCCACAGAGAAAGAGGACCAGGAAGGAUCCGGGAGGUGGCCAACUAGUGCCCCAUUUAAUUGGUAGGGGACUGUUGUCUAGUAUCAAUAAACGUGUGCAUAUCAUUUAAAA